GAGAAGAACGCAGUGAAAUGCGAUAAGUAAUGUGAAUUGCAGAAUUCAGUGAAUCAUCGAAUCUUUGAACGCACAUUGCGCCCGCCAGCACUCUGGCGGGCAUGCCUGUUCGAGCGUCAUUUCAACCAUCAAGCCCCCAGGGGCUUGUGCUGGGGCCCUGCGGCUGCCCGCAGGCCCUGAAAACCAGUGGCGGGCUCGCUAGUCACACCGAGCGCAGUAGCACAUCUCGCUCAGGGCGUGCGGCGGGCUCCUGCCGUGAAACCCCCCACUGUAACCCCAAAGGUUGACCUCGGAUCAGGUAGGAAUACCCGCUGAACUUAAGCAUAUCAAUAAGCGGAGGA
RNAcentral lists this unclassified non-coding RNA (341 nucleotides) under soil metagenome. Its description in RNAcentral is "partial contains 5.8S ribosomal RNA, internal transcribed spacer 2, and large subunit ribosomal RNA". The stretch from base 3 to 119 matches the Rfam family "5.8S ribosomal RNA", at positions 38 to 154 of the family's 154-position model. The record is from RNAcentral.